CAGCUGUGCUCAAGGGGUUUUCCAGAGCUUUCAGGUCAUUUCUUGUCUCUGUUGCCGACAGGAAAUUACCUAAAAUCCAGUGUUCACCUGAACCUCCCGGGGCAGUGCCUGAGAAGGAGCGAGGGGCCAGUGCUGCAGGUCAGACUGGACCCAUAAAGAAAAAUCUGCAGGUUUGAGACGUCGGUGGAGGACACAGACUGACCGUGCAUGCCAAAGUGUCCUGUCAGUAGUGCCAGGACUAGACGUCACUUAUGGAUGGCCUUCUGUGUGGUAAAAAUGCAGCGAAAGAUACAGACUGUGUUGUCCCCUGCGUUUCUGAUGCUUAAAAAGGUUGGUACUUGAAGCCCGGGUUUCCUGGGGCUAUCAGGGCAAAUGAGUCUCUCUCUUCACAGAAAACGUGUGUUUUUCAAGAGUUGUGUCACACAGAUGAAGCUG
Long non-coding RNA from Nothoprocta perdicaria, 435 nucleotides. RefSeq lists it as uncharacterized. Lineage: Eukaryota; Metazoa; Chordata; Aves; Tinamiformes; Tinamidae. The record is from RefSeq and is a predicted model, not a curated record. The transcript has 2 exons.